GUGGUCGCUCCGACAGCGCAUGUGCUAAAAUUGGAACAACACAGAAGGUUAGCAUGGCCCCUGCGCAAGGAUGACAUGCAAAUUCUUGAAGUGUGGCAUAUUUUU
Molecule: small nuclear RNA, 105 nt
Organism: Oryctolagus cuniculus (rabbit)
Lineage: Eukaryota; Metazoa; Chordata; Mammalia; Lagomorpha; Leporidae
Source: Ensembl